RNAcentral lists this long non-coding RNA (1212 nucleotides) under Homo sapiens (human). RNAcentral's name for it is "HSALNT0222957". The record is from RNAcentral. Lineage: Eukaryota; Metazoa; Chordata; Mammalia; Primates; Hominidae.
CCUAGUGUUCCCUUAUUCGGCUUCUUUGGAAAUGGAGAAAUUGGAUGUGAUCGGAUAGUCACUGGGAACUUUAUAUUGAGGAAAUGUAAUGAGGUCUAAAUAGCUAACUAACUGGUAGACCAGAGUAUUACAUCAUCUUAUUUUGGUUUUAUACCAAUAAAACAUAGCGUGGAACUCAUUCAGUGAGCCAUCUUGGACCCUGAAGAGGAGGCAACACACCAUUGUAGAAGAAAAACAACAGAAGGAUCCUGGUCCCUGUACGACCUCAUUGAAGAAACACCAUAAGUGGCGUGGACUAUCUACCUCCAGACUGUUUUACAAGAGAGAAAUUAGCAUAUUCCAUCUAAUACAGUAUGAUGUAACUAAUGUUACUUUUGUAACAGUCAGUGGUUUGUUCUAACAGGACAGUAGAACACUUGCAAGGUAAGUAAAACCAAAUGUAUUAGCAUUAUUCCUGCUUUUCCUUUUUUGUCACUUUUAUCCUUUUUUUAAAACUGAAAAUAUUUUUCUCUUGCUAUUUAUAUAUAUAUGAUAAAAAUGCUUGGAAGAGUCCUUUAAUUUAUGGUUAUUCUAAAUCCUAGUUCCUGAGGCAAGUCCAAAGAAAAAUUUGUCAAAACUUUUCAUCUAUGAAUAUUUAUAUUUAGCUCUUGCUAUUUAGCUAUUAUCAAAAUACCUCAAAAUUUUAGUCCUUGAAUGUGCUCAUAUAGCCCAUAAGGCAAAUAUUUUUUAAACUUUAUUGUCCCUGAUAUUAACCAGAAUUGGUUGAAUAGUAGAGGAAAAGGGAUUUUUAAAACUGAAAAUAUGAACAAAAUGAGCCUUAGAAUUGAAUGGAUUAUUUUAAACAAAUUAAUACUCAUAUAAAAUGUUUUGCUGCUUCUCAAAGAGUCUGAUACAGGGUAAUUUCAUACAAUAUUUGAUGUUGUUAAAGCAUUCCUUUUUAUAGCUGAGCCUUUGGAGCUUGUUAUGAACAGUAAAAUCAUUUAGUCACAUGGUUGUAACCUUAGUGCAAAGUAAAAAGGGAAAAGUUGACCUAAUAGAAACAAUAGUAGUAUUGAUAAGAACAAAAGUCAUCCUCCCUGCCUCUCAGAGGCCCUGAAGUCCUGUGAGGAAGGGAAAUAGUAAUUUAACCAAAGUUAAAUCUGUGUAACUCAUUUAUUACAAUUUUGAAAGGCUUGUCUUAGAAGCAUUAAAGGAGUAUUAGCUAAAAACAAA